CCUACGGGCGGCUGCAGUGGGGAAUAUUGGACAAUGGGGGGAACCCUGAUCCAGCCAUGCCGCGUGUGUGAAGAAGGCCCUCGGGUUGUAAAGCACUUUCAGUGAGGAAGAACGCCUGGUGGUUAAUACCCAUCAGGAAAGACAUCACUCACAGAAGAAGCACCGGCUAACUCCGUGCCAGCAGCCGCGGUAAUACGGAGGGUGCGAGCGUUAAUCGGAAUUACUGGGCGUAAAGCGCGCGUAGGUGGCUUGAUAAGCCGGUUGUGAAAGCCCCGGGCUCAACCUGGGAACGGCAUCCGGAACUGUCAAGCUAGAGUGCAGGAGAGGACGGUAGAAUUCCCGGUGUAGCGGUGAAAUGCGUAGAGAUCGGGAGGAAUACCAGUGGCGAAGGCGGCCUUCUGGACUGACACUGACACUGAGGUGCGAAAGCGUGGGUAGCAAACAGGAUUAGAUACCCUAGUAGUC
Molecule: ribosomal RNA, 465 nt
Filed under: Vreelandella stevensii
Lineage: Bacteria; Pseudomonadati; Pseudomonadota; Gammaproteobacteria; Oceanospirillales; Halomonadaceae
Description: partial 16S ribosomal RNA
Rfam family: Bacterial small subunit ribosomal RNA
Source: RNAcentral